Molecule: non-coding RNA, 972 nt
Organism: Zootoca vivipara (common lizard)
Lineage: Eukaryota; Metazoa; Chordata; Lepidosauria; Squamata; Lacertidae
Source: RefSeq, a predicted model, not a curated record
CUUGGGUGGAGAAGGGUGUGAUUUUCUGAAUCUUCUCUUGACCUUCCCCAGAGAAGUGACAGGAAUUAAUUGGUUCCAGACUUUCCUUAGUUCUCGAACCUGCUCUCAGAAUAAGGAUUUAACAGUAUCCAUAAAGCACAGAGGGAAUUGCUAUUGCAGAGCACACCCAACCCUCCUCCCAAUGGCACCCAUGAGAAAGGGUGCCACCCUUCCAAGAGCCGCCGAGGAGCCUCACACAACAUGCAAGAUAAGUGAGACCAGCAGCCAUUGCCAGGCUUGCCAUUUCUCCUCCAAUGUCUGGACUCCCGUGCCUAUUAUCAGCGAUGCAACAUAGAAAUCCAACAGCCUCUGGAGCGCUUGUUAUCGGAGAGAGGAAGCACCUGAAAUCCACGGGUCUCUUGAGGGUGAAGAGAACAAAAAGCAGCUCAAGAAGUUCGGGAAGACUGGAGUUCACAAGCAAAUUCAAACGGAGCGUGUGAAUUUCAGGGCAAGAUAAUUAAAACAGCCUGGAUUAGGCGGGCUUUGUGAGCUGGGCUCUUCUGAGCGUCUGUUUUGAGGUUGUUACUUGGUUUUAAAUAAAGGAACCUAGAGUCGUUUGCGGCUUCUGAUCCUGGCACGCAAACAGAACAGCCCCAGUGCUGUUUGUUAACUGUGAUUUGCCACUGAGAACGGUUCCUUCAAAGAGCAGCAGAUUCCACGCCCCCGGUGCCACCAUCACCUUUUGCCUCCACAAGACCGAAUGGGAAGCUGUUCGAUUAGAUUCCUCAGCCAGGCGCACGCACUCGCUCCAAGACAGUCAAAAUUGCAGCCAGAUGGAGGGAGCCAAGGUGGAAGAGAAAGCCUUUACCUUAUUUCUCCAAGCGGAGGCGCGCGGACAUUAGGGAAGCUGAGAUGUCCCAGCAAGGCGAUUAGAAACGGAACAGGCAUUUCGCACCGGAGGCUACUAGCUGUUUAGCCUCUUACUGUGCUUCU